Apus apus (common swift) is the source of this 544-nucleotide long non-coding RNA. RefSeq lists it as uncharacterized. The transcript has 3 exons. NCBI's taxonomy places the organism in Eukaryota, Metazoa, Chordata, Aves, Apodiformes, Apodidae. The record is from RefSeq and is a predicted model, not a curated record.
AGGUCGGCGGGACAUGGCGGCGGGGCCGGGCCGGGGUCCCGCCCCGCACCGGGGGUCCCGCCCCGCACCGCCCGCCCCGCCCUCUCAUCACGCCGUCCGCAGAUCCUGACCACGACCGCAAUGUGGUUAAUAAAGUGGGGCUGAAAGAUGCCUGUGGCAUUCCUUGGCUGGCUGCUGGGCUGACAGGGACACCUUUGCCCCUCUUCUCCUGCCAGAGCUUGGCUUUCCUCUCUCCUGCUCUCCAGACAAGGAAGAACUGGCCCAAGACUAUUCCUAGCCUGGCAGUGUGACCUGCAAGAUCAGCUCCUGCUGUUCUUGACCUGAACACCUGCCUGGCACCCUGGAGAUCUCCCUGCUUCAGCUGCUUGCAGGCUGGAAUGAAUCGACAUUCCUGAUGGUGUCAGCACAAAAGGGCACCACUGAAACUGCUGUUCCAUCUCCAGAGGGAGCCACCAGCACCUGGCAGAGCUGUCUCCAGAGAUGAGCAGGUAUUUCAUGUAUGCUAAGAUAAAUCUGUCUGUCCAGACAAAAAUAAAUUUGCAAA